AUCCGGCUGACGAGUCCCGAACAGGACAAAACGCGAGCCCUGGAU
RNAcentral lists this non-coding RNA (45 nucleotides) under Schistosoma mattheei. The record is from RNAcentral. Lineage: Eukaryota; Metazoa; Platyhelminthes; Trematoda; Strigeidida; Schistosomatidae.